CUCAAAACCAAGGUGAAGAGUUGGCAGUGUGACCCUUGAAGAGGUUUCAAGUUAGCCUGGAGUAGCCAGUAUUUUCCACUCCCAAUCAGGAAUUAACUUUGGAAUCUUCCAUAAGUGUAGAGAAGCUGGGGGCACCCUGAGUAAGUACUACUUCAAGACAAACCAGAACAAGAUGGCCUUGCACUGAGAGAGAGAGAGAGACAGAGAGAGAGAGAGAGAGAGAGAGAGAGAGAGAGAGAGAGAGAGAGGUAUAGGUAAGAAGUAAAUACAACUGGAAACAUAUUUUUAGUUAGGAAAAAUUUUGCAAGAUGCCCUGUUUAUAAAACAGAAAAUUAGAGAUAACAGAAUUUUUCUCAGAAUGCUAAAAUCAAUAUGCAAUGAAGAUAACAUACUAAAUGAUACGCUGCUGAUCACUAUUUCUGCAGAAGGACAGCUCAAGCUCACAAGAAGAUGGCAUUCGGGUUUUCUGCGUGUUCAAGGAGAUCUGCUGUGCCUCUGGAAAGGGAUUUAUGGCUAGGGGACAACUGGCUGCUGGGCUCUGGUGGCUGCUAGUGCUGAGACCCUGAGAAGCCCAGCAUUUUCCUGCUUUCCACAAUGUCACCUCAAUUUGAAAAUACUGAGAUUUAGUUAGAUGAACGGGAAGAUAUAUUUUAUAUUCCAGUUUCUCCUCUCCUUUGAAGUUAGUUUUAUGUUGUAGGAAUUUGAAAGAGCAUUAUUUUUUUCUGGAGUGAGAUAUUAUACACAAAUAAUGAAAGUGCUCUCUCUCAUGUGGUGGAACAAUGUCAACAAUACCUCUUUUUAAGACCAUGCUAAGAAGGCCUCUUUCUAGCCAGGAAGUUGUAAAAAUAAUACCAUAAUAGGAUUAUGUGUUUGAAGGACAGUACCAUUCCUUCCUUAAUUUAAGGUGACUAAAAGAUCUAAAUCACAACCAUGAGCCCCAUUGGCUGGAAACUCAUGUCCACAUGUCAUCCCGGCUAAGGAUCAAGCCAGGUGUUCGGCUUUGGUCCAGCAAGGAAGGAAUAAAAUCCUGGAUCACAUUGAGCCUGUUCUCCCUGUUCCAGGAGCAAUGCUUCCAUGGCUCUUCCCUGUUUAUUGACCGGAGUCACCUGGAGCUCGAGUCUGCUGGGCUUUACUGAUUCAUUCCCUACUAUGGUAGCACCCUCUCCGAGGCUCUGCAUUCCCAAUAAAAGCUUG
This 1194-nucleotide long non-coding RNA is filed under the name Heterocephalus glaber (naked mole-rat). RNAcentral's name for it is "lncRNA (ENSHGLG00000039285.1)". The record is from RNAcentral. Lineage: Eukaryota; Metazoa; Chordata; Mammalia; Rodentia; Bathyergidae.